This 364-nucleotide ribosomal RNA is filed under the name Enterocytozoon bieneusi H348. RNAcentral describes it as "eukaryotic LSU rRNA". It matches the Rfam family "Eukaryotic large subunit ribosomal RNA", at positions 1900 to 2432 of the family's 3401-position model. Lineage: Eukaryota; Fungi; Microsporidia; Enterocytozoonidae. The record is from RNAcentral.
GUGAGCAAGGGAAAUCGGCAAAAUGGAUGAAAAACCUCGGGAUAAUCAUUGGCUCUAGCAUGCUAGAACUGGGCUUACAAGGGGAAUCUGACUGUUUAAUAAAAACAUAGCUUUGUGUGUACGCAAAGUGAAUUCUGCCCAGUGCUUGGGACGUUAAGGAAGUAAUUUUAAGUACGCACCUGUAAACGGCGGGAGUAACUAUGACUCUCUUAAGGUAGCCAAAUGCCUCGUCGCCUAAUUAGCGACCCGCAUGAAUGGAGCAACGAGAUUCCCACUGUCCCUGCUCACAGAUUUGCGAACUACAGCCAAGGGAACGGGCUUGGGAAUGCAUCGGGGAAAAAAAACCUGUUGAACUGACUCUAGC